UCGGGUUGACGGGUUUUUUUCUUCUUUUCUCCCCUUUUACACCUUGACACACCUGUGGGGACUUUCACUAUAUUUCGCCUGUAACUAAGGUUGUUUUUGUUUGGAGUGUGUUUUUAUUGUUCUACUCCGAGUGUUAAGUGGAUGCACGAAAACUGUUCACUCGUGGUUACGAGAUGUCCUAUGGUGCUUCAACAGACUGUGAUUGACAGCUACAUGGUCACCAAGCAGAUUCUCACUGAGCCGAGAAGAAGAGGAUCUCUGGACAAAAAGACAAACACUUGCAAGAGUCAUUGGGUCAAGACAGCUCACAUGGACCUCCAACACCUCACAGCUGGUCAAAAAAGCCCAACAAAGACUGUUUUUCCUCAGGAAGCUGAAGCUGCCCACCUCCCACAGAAAGUAAUUGCCAAUUUCUAAAGGAGCAUGAUAGAUAGCAUCCUCACUAACUGUGCCACCGUGUGGUAUUCCAGCUGCACAGCUUCUGAACGUAAAUGACUGCACCAUGUGAUGAAGGUGGCUUAGCCCAUUAUUGGGAUGGAGCCCCCGACAAUGGACAUAAUCUACGAUGGACAACUGAAGAAGAAGGCCAGCAGUAUUUUCAGGGACCAUCCCCCCCGACACUACUUGUUUGAACCACUGCCAUUGGAUAGAUGGUUCAGAACAUUAAGACUAAGAGCACAACAGACUGAGGAACAGUUUUUAUUCACCCUGCAAAGCAUGACUACUAGUUUCGUGUAAAUUCAUAGUUGUGUAAGCAGGUGCCUUACAGCUCACUCAGAGACCAGAUAUUAGAACUAGUAUAUAUUAACAUUUGGAUUUGGAAUCACGAUAGUCCCUCUCUGCAUUACAAUGAAACAAAUACCUUGACUCUUCAUCAGCAAUGUUUUUUUCCAGUCAGAUUAAUUCUUGAGAGUCUUAUUACAGUCCAGCUGGAGGAGAGGAGAAAUCUUCACAAAUGAGAUUUGAUUGUCCUCCACCUAAGCAGCAUCAUGGGAUUAGAAGAAAUGAAACGUGUUUAAAAGGUAUGCCUGUUUGUCUAAUGUCUGAAUUUAUUCAGUCAGGGUUUGUUAUUUCAACCUGUAACGUGUCGCAGAAACUGAGAGUAUUCCAUUUAGGCAACUAUGCUUUCUUUCAUCAUUACCCUUCCAUUUUUCAGCCCUACAGUCUACCAUCAUUCAGAUCUUUCAACCUGUGGACAGCA
Molecule: long non-coding RNA, 1201 nt
Organism: Paralichthys olivaceus (Japanese flounder)
Lineage: Eukaryota; Metazoa; Chordata; Actinopteri; Pleuronectiformes; Paralichthyidae
Source: RefSeq, a predicted model, not a curated record